CUACAUUACAACCAUGCAUGUCAAAUCAUAUCAAUGGAAGAAAGAAAUAUUUGAAAAUUCCCUUUGUAAAUAAGACAAGACGGACGGACAGGCGGACAGGCGGACAGACCGGCAGACAGACAUUGCUCUAUCGACUCGGCUAUUGAUGCUAACCAAGAACAUAUUAUUAUGGGGAUUAUGGGUUCGGAAAUGCUUCCUUCUGUGCCUUAGAUACAACCUUCGAGUUGUACAACCUUUACUCUUCGAGUACCGGGUAUAAAAAAAAGUUAUGGACACAUAUUGUCAUGGGAAGCCAUAGAGCAUCCGAUAGAGCAAGCAAAUUCAAUGCCAGUAGGAAAGAAAUUUAACUUACUAUUAAAUAAAUUAAACCAAUAUAAAUAAAGACAAAUAUAAAUAGAAACAAAACCAAAUUGGGGACGCUUUAAAUAUCAUAAGUAGGACUAUGAAUUCUUUUGGACGUUGAUAUGCAACGACUGCACCAUCAAGUGGCCCAUGCGACGCCAAGCCAAAGCCUGCAGAACCCUCCUCCCGCCCAACCGACCGAGGGGCGCUGCCGCAUGACGCGCGGCGCGAUUAACCGAACCGGUCGCGAGCGUGCAGGAAAGAUAGAUGUUAGGCUAAUAUUCGAGGAAAAUUAGAACUAAACACAACUAAACUAAAGAAAGUAUAGCUAAGCAAGCAAACCUAUCAAAGUC
This 695-nucleotide long non-coding RNA is filed under the name Drosophila guanche. Lineage: Eukaryota; Metazoa; Arthropoda; Insecta; Diptera; Drosophilidae. The record is from RNAcentral.